UGAUACUAUAGUUUGCCUCUCUCUCCACCAGCUAACACUAUCCACACCCUUCUGAUAAAUAAAUUAUAUGCAACCCCUUCUUAAUACUUUUUUUUUCAUAUUACUCUCUCUAGAUAAUUUCCCCUACUAUUAUUAAAAUUUAAAAUAAUUUUAUCAUGUAAAAUUUUAAAAUUUAUACAGAGUUAACUCUAUUACAACUCUUCAAAUUCAAAGAAAGCUAUUGAAAUUUAUCCCCUCCAAUUUACAAAGGUCAUCGUCGUAACACAGUGCAUAUGCCAGACGUCACCCUUUAAUAACGGGCUAAUUGUUGUGAGUUGCUAAUUUGCUGUGCAUUUCUUUUAGGGAAACACUUUCAGCUCCCUUUUAGCUCAAAGAAUAGCAACCAUAACAAGUGUUAAAACAAGAG
RNAcentral lists this unclassified non-coding RNA (406 nucleotides) under Hevea brasiliensis (rubber tree). The record is from RNAcentral. Lineage: Eukaryota; Viridiplantae; Streptophyta; Magnoliopsida; Malpighiales; Euphorbiaceae.